Molecule: ribosomal RNA, 460 nt
Filed under: uncultured bacterium
Lineage: Bacteria
Description: partial 16S ribosomal RNA
Rfam family: Bacterial small subunit ribosomal RNA
Source: RNAcentral
CCUACGGGGUGCAGCAGUGAGGAAUAUUGGUCAAUGGACGAGAGUCUGAACCAGCCAAGUAGCGUGAAGGAUGACUGCCCUAUGGGUUGUAAACUUCUUUUAUAAAGGAAUAAAACGAGGCACGUGUGCCUUUUUGCAUGUACUUUAUGAAUAAGGAUCGGCUAACUCCGUGCCAGCAGCCGCGGUAAUACGGAGGAUCCGAGCGUUAUCCGGAUUUAUUGGGUUUAAAGGGAGCGUAGAUGGGUUGUUAAGUCAGUUGUGAAAGUUUGCGGCUCAACCGUAAAAUUGCAAUUGAUACUGGCAGUCGUGAGUACAGUUGAGGUAGGCGGAAUUCGUGGUGUAGCGGUGAAAUGCUGAGAUAUCACGAAGAACCCCGAUUGCGAAGGCAGCUUACUAAACUGUGACUGACAUUGAUGCUCGAAAGUGUGGGUAUCAAACAGGAUUAGAUACCCUAGUAGUC